This 497-nucleotide ribosomal RNA is filed under the name uncultured bacterium. RNAcentral describes it as "partial 16S ribosomal RNA". It matches the Rfam family "Bacterial small subunit ribosomal RNA", at positions 28 to 507 of the family's 1533-position model. The record is from RNAcentral.
GAUGAACGCUGGCGGCGUGCCUAAUACAUGCAAGUCGAGCGAACAGACGAGGAGCUUGCUCCUUUGACGUUAGCGGCGGACGGGUGAGUAACACGUGGAUAACCUACCUAUAAGACUGGGAUAACUUCGGGAAACCGGAGCUAAUACCGGAUAACAUGUUGAACCGCGUGGUUCAACAGUGAAAGACGGUCUUGCUGUCACUUAUAGAUGGAUCCGCGCCGCAUUAGCUAGUUGGUAAGGUAACGGCUUACCAAGGCAACGAUGCGUAGCCGACCUGAGAGGGUGAUCGGCCACACUGGAACUGAGACACGGUCCAGACUCCUACGGGAGGCAGCAGUAGGGAAUCUUCCGCAAUGGGCGAAAGCCUGACGGAGCAACGCCGCGUGAGUGAAGAAGGUCUUCGGAUCGUAAAACUCUGUUAUUAGGGAAGAACAAAUGUGUAAGUAACUAUGCACGUCUUGACGGUACCUAAUCAGAAAGCCACGGCUAACUACGUG